Molecule: long non-coding RNA, 102 nt
Organism: Cebus imitator (Panamanian white-faced capuchin)
Lineage: Eukaryota; Metazoa; Chordata; Mammalia; Primates; Cebidae
Exons: 3
Source: RefSeq, a predicted model, not a curated record
GAGAAAUAUGGCUUUGUAACCCUCACACAGAGUCUCAACAAGGGUACUGCCUAGUGUAUCUGUGAGAAGAAGACCACCAUCCUCCAGGCCCCAGAAUAGUAG